CCUUCAUCUCACGAUGCUGGUGAAAACGAUGUUGAUGCUGAUGAUGAGCAGCAUGAUGAAGCUACUGUUCACUUUCAUGAUGAUGUUGUUGGCCGUGACGGAGAUGAUGUUGUGGCAGGGGAUGUGACCCUUCAAUCAGAUGAUGCUGAAAGAGUCAAUGUUUCUCAGGCUGCUUCAGUUAUUAAUGCAUCUGCGAAAGGGGAGGGGGACCUUCACUCGCUCGUGGCUAAAGGAGUCCAUGUUCCUGAGGCUGAUUCGAUUAUCAAUGCAUCUGCGGGAGGGGAAGGGGACCUUCAGUCGCUCGUGGUUGAAGGACAACAUCUUCUUUAGUCUUAUGUAGUAGUCAAGGCAGUAGAAAAAGGGGAUAGGAACCUUGCAUCAGUUCAGGCUGAAGGGGACCAUCUUCGUCAAAGCACUUCUGAAGCUAGGGGAACAUGGUUGUUCUCAGUAGAGUCUGAUGUCCAUCAUCGUGCAACACCAAUUUCAGACCUAAUUGAGCAGGCAUAGGUCAAACUGGAGAACAAAUACAUUUCAAGCCCAUACGAUGACCCCUCAGUGAGCCGUCAGGAAAUAAAGGACGCACUGGUGCAAGCAUAAGAAGCUUUCAAGAAAGACGAGUGUGUGAGGUGUGAUGUUGGGAUCUUAGGGGAUCAAGGUGCUGAGUUUUUCACAACAUUAGAAGAUCCCAAAGAAGAAAUGAGUAGUGAACAUAUAGACGUAUGCCUCAGUGUACUCUGUAAGUGGAUGACAAGGCCAAAGUCGAAGUUGUACACUACCCGUGCAUGCGUGGUUGACACAAUAUUCUUCGGGUACAUGGAGGGUGAAAAGCCGACAUAUGGUAAAAAAUGAGAAGAUGUCGAUUUCAUCCUCGCACCUUGCAAUGUGGGCAGGCAUUGGGUGGUAGCGAAGAUCGACUUGGUGAGGUGGACGAUCAAGGUGGUGGACUCUGUAAGAACUGCGGAUGUUAAGGAUAACGGAGUGCGUGCGACUCAAAUGACACCCUUUCGACUAUUAUGCUAAUCAUAUGCCACCAAAUCGGUUAUUUCAACAAAACACGCUGAAAGACACGGGAUUUGACGCUGAUGCCAAUGGAUAUCCAUUUGCCAAAAUCUAAAGUGCAUUGGCAGAACGAUAGUUUCAGCUGCGGUAUGUUCAUGAUAAGGUACAUUGACGAUAUUUUACAAUAAGAAAAUAUCAGAGUUAAGUAGAAUAUGAUUGCAAAUAUGCGUUGCCAAUACACACUAGAAAGUUUUUCCAACAGUUGUGAGAGCGAACCCUGAACAUAUCGACCGUUGUAUGUACAUCAUUUUUUUUGUAUAUAUAAUUAAUUUUAUUAAUUUUAAUAUUCGUA
This is a non-coding RNA of Theobroma cacao (cacao), 1351 nucleotides long. NCBI's taxonomy places the organism in Eukaryota, Viridiplantae, Streptophyta, Magnoliopsida, Malvales, Malvaceae. The record is from RefSeq and is a predicted model, not a curated record.